Non-coding RNA from Pocillopora verrucosa, 759 nucleotides. NCBI's taxonomy places the organism in Eukaryota, Metazoa, Cnidaria, Anthozoa, Scleractinia, Pocilloporidae. The record is from RefSeq and is a predicted model, not a curated record.
AUGGCUGCCCUCGUGGACAAUUCUUUGCUUGAUGUACGUGAAAGAAAUUCGAUGGCUAUUACGCCCAAUACACAAACAAAGUCACACACCGUUCGCGGUAGACCCACACUAAAACUUGUGGAGCGUUUUGGGAACGGGUCGGUCCGCAAAAUUUACGAGAGAUCAAUUUUACGAUCGAUCCUUUACGAGUGAACCUUUCAUUGAGAAAUAUCAAGCGAAACCUGCUAUAUCAAACGAGUUAUCUCAUAUUAUGUUUACAUGUAGCAACCGUGUAUUUAGACGUGAUCGAGAACCCAGUAGAAUACCAGAAGCUACUCUGAAACGUCUCAGAAGAAAGGGCAGAAAACUGAAGGAAUUUGUUUAUGAGCGUAUUCGUCCAAGCAUACCGAAGUCCUCUUGGCUACGUCGUUAUGUGAAGGAUGUACUGCAGCUGCUAUCUAUUGUAAAGGUAAUGUGGGCUUGAAUAUAUUCGAUUCUCAUGCAAGGGAGAGAAGCCAUCCUCAAGGUCUAUGUGAAACAGAUUUUGAGCACAUAAUGCAAUACCUCACCAAACAUCUGCCAGGAUGACUCACUUAAAAGUGUGCAUGAGUAUCAUCUCUUGCUUAGAUAGGACACGUCACUUCAAUGUUUUUAUUACUACACAUAUGGGGGCUUUGGUAAGAUUGUGGAAAGGAGGGACAAUGUUUGAGCAGCUGGGAGGGACCAAAAUGACAGUGUGGCAGCCAUUUAUUCCCACUUGGAUGGCAAAGUCUGGGGAAC